AUGCAGCUCACAAUCAAGAGCAUCUUGAUGGUCCAGAAGAGGUGCACAGAUGCUGGCAUGAAGUAUUUGUGCACCUCAAAACUAAAUCAAGAGAAUCACUUCUCCUUGGUCCGGGGAAAAGGUGGGCACAAAUAUAACCCCAGUGCACGGGAGUUCACUGCUGCUCUCAGGGGACUGAGUGUGUCCAACAUUCUGCCUGCCCUCUCUUCAUUCACAUCCAAUUGUGAGGUGGAUGAUGGAGUCACACUUCUGACUACCUCAUCCGAUGGGGCGACUCCCUCAACCUCAGCAACCACAGGUCUGCUGAUGCCUCCGACCAUCGCAUUGGCCCUGCCUCUUUCACCCAAAGCAGAACCAAUGGAUGUUGACCUGGUGUCAGACAUUGUGGAAGACAAGACUGUUGGUGAUUGCAUCCUAGAGGAGGGCCUCUUUUAUGUUGCUGGCUGGGUAGUCAGAAUGCUUCAUCAGGAUGCAACAGUGAGGGCAUGUCCUCACUGUGAAAUCCUGCUGUUGGGUCCUAGACACCAGGACCACAGAUGUGCUGCAAAUGCCGAGCACCCUUUCCUGACGGCCAAAAAAUAUACACCGGCUGCCAACCUGAUGAGGCCGUCAGAGGAGUAUUUUGAGGCCAUCCAGCUGUUGGAAGGGGAGUUCGCAAGAUACAUCAACACCUUCUGGCCUCACUCCAACAUCACCAACAAUAUAUAUAUAUAUAUAUAUAUAUAUAUAUAUAUAUAUAUAUAUAUAUAUAUAUACAUAUAAUACAAUACUAGUAAUAGUAGUUCAUUAAAUUCUGGUGUUUGUUCCACAAGCUUUACACGUAUAAUACAUGUGUAAUAUCAUCCAUCAUGUGUGCGGUCUCUUCUUUUUCCACACUUUCACUCACUAAUCUUCAGUGGCUGAAUUCGCCAUCAUGUAUCGACUAACGUUAGAUACAUAGCUGAUAGCAGAAUGUCUAAUAAGGGCUGUUAGCCAGCUGAUGGCUAGCUGACAGCCCACGACCAUUAAUAGCUGAUAGCUAAUAAGCCCUGACAGCCAGCUGAUGGAUAACUGAUAGCCAGCUACGUCGCCAAACAUUCAACGACCAUUGUGUGUGUAUUUUCGGCGUGGUCUUUCAAAACAACAAAACAAAAAACUCUUCUAGCACAUGUAUUUACCUGUGUCAGCUGUGUUGUCGAUGCCUCGAGAGAUAAGAAAGUGCAGAGCACGAAAGCACCAGAGCCGUUAAAUAAUGAAUUUUUCAACGGCUCUGGAAUGCACCAUAGACAUUCUCUGAAAGCACCAAAGUGACUGAAGGAUUGCCGUAAAGCAGUAUCUCUGGUCGUAUGAUGUGUAUGACGUCAUUGACAUUUUAAAAUACUUUUUAAAGCAAAUAAGUGACUCUAAAAAAAUCUAACACCCAGCAAUGUGUAAUUUCUUUGCAUCUCCUUUCGAAUACAACAUUCAAAUUACUAGACAAAAAAUUAUAUCCUGAGAAAAGUGGAUUUUGAGGGGUAUACCGCCAUUGACCUCCAUUCAUUCUGCACUCGUCCUGUGAGCGCCCUCAUAUGGAAUCAGAGUGGAACUGCAAUCAG
Molecule: long non-coding RNA, 1574 nt
Organism: Cyprinus carpio (common carp)
Lineage: Eukaryota; Metazoa; Chordata; Actinopteri; Cypriniformes; Cyprinidae
Source: Ensembl